Molecule: ribosomal RNA, 1379 nt
Filed under: Engystomops cf. freibergi SRR-2006
Lineage: Eukaryota; Metazoa; Chordata; Amphibia; Anura; Leptodactylidae
Description: partial 16S ribosomal RNA
Rfam family: Bacterial large subunit ribosomal RNA
Source: RNAcentral
AGCUAAAAAUUUAGCCUUACUCCACAAUUAUACUCAUUCUAUUUUACUUACACAAAAUAAAACAUUCUUUAAACUUAGUAAAGGAGAUAAAAAAGUUUUUUAGAGCCAUAAUACAAGUACCGCAAGGGAAAAAUGAAAUAAAAAUGAAAUAAAAUUCAAGCAUAAUAUAGUAGAGAUUUAUCCUCGUACCUUUUGCAUCAUGAUUCAACUAGUUUAAUUACGCAAAAAGAAUUUAAGUUUAACUUCCCGAAACUAAGUGAGCUACUUUAGGGCAGCUAAAUGAGCCAACCCGUCUCUGUUGCAAAAGAGUGGGACGACCCUUAAGUAGAGGUGAUAAGCCUAACGAACUUAGUGAUAGCUGGUUAUUCAGGAAAAGAAUUUUAGUUCAACUUAAAAUUACAUAAAUAAAAUAAAAUAAAAUUUUAAUUUUAAAGCAAUUCAAAUAAGGUACAGCCUAUUUGAAAUAGAACACAAUCUAAACUACAGGGUAAACAUAAAAAUUAGUGUAAUAAAGUAGGCCUAAAAGCAGCCAACUUUAAAACAGCGUCAAAGCUUAUUUUUAUAAUUUUUUAAUACCAUUAUCCAUAAUGAACCCUUUACUUCCACUGAAUAUUUCUAUAAAAUUAUAGAAUUUUUUAUGUUGAAACUAGUAACAAGAAGUUAAACUUCUCCUAAAUAUAAGUAUAAGUCGACUAGGAUAGACCAUCGACAAUUAACGCUAAAAUUAAAUGUAUUAACAUCACAAGAAAAAUUUACAUCACCCUACGUUAAUCUUACACCAGAACAUUUAAGGAAAGAUUAAAAAAAAAGGAAGGAACUCGGCAAACAUUAACCCCGCCUGUUUACCAAAAACAUCGCCUUCUGAUAAAUUAUAGAAGGUCCAGCCUGCCCAGUGAAUUAAUUCAACGGCCGCGGUAUCCUAACCGUGCGAAGGUAGCGUAAUCACUUGUUCUUUAAAUGAGGACUAGUAUGAAUGGCACCACGAAGGUUAUACUGUCUCCCUUUUUUAAUCAGUUAAACUAAUCUCCACGUGAAGAAGCGUGAAUAAAUAUAUAAGACGAGAAGACCCUAUGGAGCUUAAAAUUACGCAACAAUUGCUAUUAAUCUCAAAUUUUAUGAAUAAUUUUUUACUAAACACCAUGAUUGCUAAUUUUUGGUUGGGGUGACCGCGGAGUAAAAAUUAACCUCCACAAUGAAAGAACCAAUAUUCUAAACUAAGAGCUACAACUCAAAGUAUUAAUAUUUUAACAUUCCUUGAUCCAAUCAUUUGAUCAACGAACAAAGUUACCCUAGGGAUAACAGCGCAAUCUACUUUGAGAGCUCCUAUCGACAAGUAGGUUUACGACCUCGAUGUUGGAUCAGGGUAUCCUAGUGGUGCA